AGAGUUUGAUCAUGGCUCAGGACGAACGCUGGCGGCGUGCCUAACACAUGCAAGUCGAACGGACGAGAGGGAGCUUGCUCCCUCAAGUUAGUGGCGGACGGGUGAGUAACGCGUGAGCAACCUGCCUUUCAGAGGGGGAUAACGUCUUGAAAAGGACGCUAAUACCGCAUGACAUUAUGGAGCCACAUGGCUCUAUAAUCAAAGGAGCAAUCCGCUGAAAGAUGGGCUCGCGUCCGAUUAGGUAGUUGGCGGGAUAACAGCCCACCAAGCCGACGAUCGGUAGCCGG
RNAcentral lists this ribosomal RNA (287 nucleotides) under uncultured bacterium. RNAcentral's name for it is "partial 16S ribosomal RNA". It matches the Rfam family "Bacterial small subunit ribosomal RNA", at positions 8 to 290 of the family's 1533-position model. The record is from RNAcentral.